Molecule: ribosomal RNA, 433 nt
Filed under: uncultured bacterium
Lineage: Bacteria
Description: partial 16S ribosomal RNA
Rfam family: Bacterial small subunit ribosomal RNA
Source: RNAcentral
AACGAACGCUGGCGGCAUGCCUAACACAUGCAAGUCGAACGAGACCUUCGGGUCUAGUGGCGCACGGGUGCGUAACGCGUGGGAACCUGCCCUUAGGUUCGGAAUAACUCCCCGAAAGGGGUGCUAAUACCGGAUAAUGUCUUCGGACCAAAGAUUUAUCGCCUUUGGAUGGGCCCGCGUUGGAUUAGCUAGUUGGUAGGGUAAAAGCCUACCAAGGCGACGAUCCAUAGCUGGUCUGAGAGGAUGAUCAGCCACACUGGGACUGAGACACGGCCCAGACCCCUCGGGGAGGCAGCAGGGGGGAAUAGUGGAAAAGGGGCGAAGGCUGGAUCCAGCAAUGCCGGGUGAGUGAUGAAGGCUUUAGGGUUGAAAAGCUUUUUUACCCGGGAUGAUAAUGACAGUACCGGGAGAAUAAGCCCCGGCUAACCCCGUC